GUCUCAGUAGCAUAGUGGUUAGCGCACAGCCCCGGUUAGAUUGAGACGCGGGUUCGAAUCCCGCCUGAGAUG
RNAcentral lists this transfer RNA (72 nucleotides) under Nippostrongylus brasiliensis. It matches the Rfam family "tRNA". From Rfam's summary of the family: Transfer RNA (tRNA) molecules are approximately 80 nucleotides in length. Their secondary structure includes four short double-helical elements and three loops (D, anti-codon, and T loops). Further hydrogen bonds mediate the characteristic L-shaped molecular structure. tRNAs have two regions of fundamental functional importance: the anti-codon, which is responsible for specific mRNA codon recognition, and the 3' end, to which the tRNAs corresponding amino acid is attached (by aminoacyl-tRNA synthetases). tRNAs cope with the degeneracy of the genetic code in two manners: having more than one tRNA (with a specific anti-codon) for a particular amino acid; and 'wobble' base-pairing, i.e. permitting non-standard base-pairing at the 3rd anti-codon position. The record is from Rfam by way of RNAcentral. Lineage: Eukaryota; Metazoa; Nematoda; Chromadorea; Rhabditida; Heligmosomidae.